GAUGAACGCUGGCGGCGUGCCUAAUACAUGCCAGUCGAGCGAACGGACGAGAAGCUUGCUUCUCUGAUGUUAGCGGCGGACGGGUGAGUAACACGUGGAUAACCUACCUAUAAGACUGGGAUAACUUCGGGAAACCGGAGCUAAUACCGGAUAAUAUUUUGAACCGCAUGGUUCAAAAGUGAAAGACGGUCUUGCUGUCACUUAUCGAUGGAUCCGCGCUGCAUUAGCUAGUUGGUAAGGUAACGGCUUACCAAGGCAACGAUGCAUAGCCGACCUGAGAGGGUGAUCGGCCACACUGGAACUGAGACACGGUCCAGACUCCUACGGGAGGCAGCAGUAGGGAAUCUUCCGCAAUGGGCGAAAGCCUGACGGAGCAACGCCGCGUGAGUGAUGAAGGUCUUCGGAUCGUAAAACUCUGUUAUUAGGGAAGAACAUAUGUGUAAGUAACUGUGCACAUCUUGACGGUACCUAAUCAGAAAGCCACGGCUAACUACGUG
Molecule: ribosomal RNA, 497 nt
Filed under: uncultured bacterium
Lineage: Bacteria
Description: partial 16S ribosomal RNA
Rfam family: Bacterial small subunit ribosomal RNA
Source: RNAcentral